UGCGCACAACCUCAACCCUCAAGGUUUCCCAAAACGUCCGUAAUUUUACCCUAAUACUCGAGUUUUAAUGGUUCUGGCAAUGGCUGGUGUGGCUUAUCGAGGUCCUGAACACUCCAUCCUUCAGUCCUUGAGUCCCAGCAGGCGGAAGGCGGUGCAGGAGCGGCAGGAGAGGGCGAGACAUGAGGUGACGGCCGCCAGCACCUUCCCGCCAUGUCCACCCAGGCAGGCGUGUGUGGUGGGGCAGCAAGGAUGUACCCAGAAGUGGCCACUCAGUCUGCCUGUGAAGCCCAAGCUGUGGUGCCCUGCCCUGUAUCCCUGAGUGUUACAUGGAUCAACAAGAGAAAGUGUCAAGGCAGCCAGGACCAUCAUGACCAAGGAUGAGGGCCAGGGAGGCAGCCUCACCAGGAACACAGCCAAUAUGUGCAUGGGGCUGUCAGGUGCCAAGGUGCAGUGGUGCUAAACAGGACAGUGGGCGGUGCAGCGAGUCAUGGUGCACAAGAGACACACCUUUACCUAGCAUCUUGAGUGGGUCGGAGCAGUAGCGCGAGGUGAGGGAGUCCCCGCGCGGCC
Eriocheir sinensis (Chinese mitten crab) is the source of this 570-nucleotide long non-coding RNA. RefSeq lists it as uncharacterized. Lineage: Eukaryota; Metazoa; Arthropoda; Malacostraca; Decapoda; Varunidae. The record is from RefSeq and is a predicted model, not a curated record. The transcript is spliced from 3 exons.